CCGGCUUUAGCUCAGUUGGUAGAUCGGAGGACUCCAGAUCCUUAGAUAGCUGGUUCGAAUCCGGCAAGCCGGA
Mangifera indica (mango) is the source of this 73-nucleotide non-coding RNA. The record is from the annotation of a RefSeq genome assembly. Lineage: Eukaryota; Viridiplantae; Streptophyta; Magnoliopsida; Sapindales; Anacardiaceae.